GGGAGUGGGGGGCACGGGGGCCCGUGCUCAUCCUGCUGGAUGCUUCCUAUGUCCUGUUUUCUUGUGGGUCACAAAGAGGAUGUUUAAUUUUUAGCAAAGAAACUUGCUUCCUCCAGCAGGGCUCAAGGUUUGGGAGCCAGGAGUCAGGCUCUGAGUUCCCCAUGCCACUGGAGGUGUCAGUGUCACCACAACAAGACAGACUUGGCCACCCGUCCUCCAGAAGCCAGUGGAAGAGACACAUCAAUAGUGAAAAGCAGGAAAAGGAAAUGCAAUCUUCGUGGGCACACUGAGAAGAGGGGUAAAGAGAUUCAGCAACAACCUUUUACCAAGUGGCUCUUAGGACCUCAAGGCUGCAGACAUACUUACGAACGACCAUCUGUUCCUUCCAUAACAGGCUGUUCUCCACAGUCCGCUCCUACCCUCGGUUCGCAUUUCUUUGUGCCAAUAUAUGUAUUGUGCCUGAUAUUCAAUUUCAAGGUAAAUCCCUUCUGCUGAAGACAGCACACACUGUGGACUCAGGACUUGGAGGAACGGAGCCAGAACUGGCCUGGAAGCCUCGUCCCUGAGCACCAGAAGUACUCUUCAGAGUUCUGGAAGGUGCUGUCAGAUAGAGACCGUUAAUGCAGAUAUCAACUAACUGGCCGUGGUGUGCCCAUUCCCAGUCGAUACACACACAAUGCAACUUCGACAUCUAAAGCUUGGAGGGCUUUAUAAAGAGAGGUUUUAAAAGGUUGUCAGAAGAGGAUCAGAGCAUCAGCUGAGUGACUAUAUAGGACAAGGUAGCUACACCCAUACAAUCUCAACAGUGUAGGUGCCUAUGCAAGACCAUUAACAACAACAUUAGUUCACGUACUCGCAAGCGUGUGUGUGUGUGUGUGUGUGUGUGUGUGUGUGUGUAUCUCAAAAGGCUUCACUUUAAAUAAACUCAUAAUGUCUCUAGGCAGUUCAUGACUGCUCAAAGAGGGGAGAAUCAGUCUUGCCCAGGGAGGAGGUUUCCCAAUC
Molecule: long non-coding RNA, 1002 nt
Organism: Mus musculus (house mouse)
Lineage: Eukaryota; Metazoa; Chordata; Mammalia; Rodentia; Muridae
Product: predicted gene, 54078
Exons: 4
Source: RefSeq, a predicted model, not a curated record